GACGAACGCUGGCGGCGUGCCUAAUACAUGCAAGUAGAACGCUGAAGGAGGAGCUUGCUUCUCUGGAUGAGUUGCGGAGGGGAGAGUAACGCUAAGGUAACCUGCCUGGUAGCGGGGGAGACCGAUUGGCAAGGAUAGCUAGGAUCGCACAAUAGUAUAUGUUGCAUGAUAUUUCGUGAAAAGGUGCAAUUGAAUCACUACCAGAUGGACCUGCGUUGUAUUAGCUAGUUGGUGGGGUAAAGGCUCACCAAGGCGACGAUACAUAGCCGACCUGAGAGGGGGAUCGGCCACACUGGGACUGAGACACGGCCCAGACUCCUACGGGAGGCAGCAGUAGGGAAUCUUCCGCAAUGGACGGAAGUCUGACCGAGCAACGCCGCGUGAGUGAAGAAGGCUUUCGGAUCGUAAAGCUCUGUUGUAAGAGAAGAAAGUGCGUGGGAGUCGAAGGUUCACACUGUGACGGUACCUCACAAGAAAGCACCGGCUAACUACGUG
Molecule: ribosomal RNA, 495 nt
Filed under: uncultured bacterium
Lineage: Bacteria
Description: partial 16S ribosomal RNA
Rfam family: Bacterial small subunit ribosomal RNA
Source: RNAcentral